RNAcentral lists this ribosomal RNA (807 nucleotides) under Ascochyta sorghi. RNAcentral's name for it is "LSU rRNA". It matches the Rfam family "Eukaryotic large subunit ribosomal RNA", at positions 109 to 934 of the family's 3401-position model. RNAcentral also lists the same sequence under 1 other name. Lineage: Eukaryota; Fungi; Ascomycota; Dothideomycetes; Pleosporales; Didymellaceae. The record is from RNAcentral.
UCAAAUUUGAAAUCUGGCGUCUUUGGCGUCCGAGUUGUAAUUUGCAGAGGGCGCUUUGGCGUUGGCAGCAGUCUAAGUUCCUUGGAACAGGACGUCACAGAGGGUGAGAAUCCCGUACGUGGUUGCUGGCCUUCGCCGUGUAAAGCCCCUUCGACGAGUCGAGUUGUUUGGGAAUGCAGCUCUAAAUGGGAGGUAAAUUUCUUCUAAAGCUAAAUACUGGCCAGAGACCGAUAGCGCACAAGUAGAGUGAUCGAAAGAUGAAAAGCACUUUGGAAAGAGAGUCAAACAGCACGUGAAAUUGUUAAAAGGGAAGCGCUUGCAGCCAGACUUGCCUGUAGUUGCUCAUCCGGACUUUUGUCCGGUGCACUCUUCUAUAGGCAGGCCAGCAUCAGUUUGGGCGGUUGGAUAAAGGUCUCUGUCAUGUACCUCUCUUCGGGGAGAACUUAUAGGGGAGACGACAUGCAACCAGCCUGGACUGAGGUCCGCGCAUUUGCUAGGAUGCUGGCGUAAUGGCUGUAAGCGGCCCGUCUUGAAACACGGACCAAGGAGUCUAACAUCUAUGCGAGUGUUUGGGUGUCAAGCCCGAACGCGUAAUGAAAGUGAACGGAGGUGGGAACCCCUCGGGGUGCACCAUCGACCGAUCCUGAUGUCUUCGGAUGGAUUUGAGUAAGAGCAUAGCUGUUGGGACCCGAAAGAUGGUGAACUAUGCUUGAAUAGGGUGAAGCCAGAGGAAACUCUGGUGGAGGCUCGCAGCGGUUCUGACGUGCAAAUCGAUCGUCAAAUUUGGGCAUAGGGGCGAAAGACUAA